Molecule: long non-coding RNA, 3000 nt
Organism: Parus major (Great Tit)
Lineage: Eukaryota; Metazoa; Chordata; Aves; Passeriformes; Paridae
Exons: 2
Source: RefSeq, a predicted model, not a curated record
AUUGUAUCAAAAACUGAUCUGCUUUGAAAUGUCUGCCAAAGACCCCUUCAAGAUAGGGGCUACAGCAGGGAUACAGAUAAGCUCUCUGUAGGUGCCACUCAUGCCCAUCUACCUCCAACUUGCUCAAGAAUUCAAAAGCACUUUUAGCACAGGAAGACACUGGACUGUCCCUUACUCAUCUGAGGACUGGGAGCAGAAGAGGGAUGCUGCCCAGCACAGGUACCCAUCCACUGCUGUUACAUUGGCCUGUGCACUGCUUACACUUCUGGUUUCUUCUGUUUUCUCUCUGGGGUACCAUUAAAUUUCCUGAGAACUCUCAAAGUUCAGCACAACAAAAAUCUUCAGUCUUUAACACAGUGUAUUGGGUUUGUGGUUUGUGCUAUUUUUUUGGGCUAAACAAAACAAGUUAUGCCAAAUAAAGCAACAAAAAAAACUUCAACCAUCCCUCCUUUGCCUAUUACCAGUGAAUCCUAGGUCCGUAAAUAAUUUAUAAAUAUCUGGUAUUCAGGAUUCUUUUGGCUGGCUUUCUCUUGAGUUUGUGUGAAGACUUUCCUCCACAGCAGGGAGCCCUGACCAUCUCAGUGCUGUAUUUCAGGGCAUGUAUGCAUACGUCCCAUUAUUUUGGGAACUACAGACAGAGCUACAGUGCUAUAGUUGGCCAAGAUUUCUCCAUAAAGGCUCUGGUAAGGUACAUGAGCCUACAUAGAGAUGCUGCCCUGCUCUCCACCUUAUGACUGAGUGAAUAAAGGAACCACUUUUUCCCCUAUAUUAAUACAACUAAUUUCAAAAUAAUAAUAUUUUUUCAUAAAAUUGUCUCCAUUACAGCAAUGUUGGAAGUGGUAGAGUGAGGCUGAACAUUAAAAAUUCUGUUUUAAUAUCUUUUAGUAAUAAAUGUUCACAAACAAGCACAAAUUAAGUUUGUUCUCUAUAUUUUAAAUUGAUUUUUCCUCUUCAGUUUAUAAGACAUGUCUCACUAUAUGAUUUUAAGCAGUUUCACAAAAUUGCUUCAAAAGAAAUGAUUCUGUAGAGUUUGCAUAUACUUGAUAUAUAUCUUUGAAAUUAUUUGUUCUUGUGCAUGUUUUUAGUUACAGAAUAAAGACUGCUUAAACUUUUAUUGAGACAAUUCAAGUAAUUUCUUUAUAACUAAAUGAAAAGCACAUCAUUAAAAGAAGAUUUAAAGGCAAGAAAAAAGCCUUUUAUGAGAGCACAACUCUUGAAUAAUUACUUCAGCUCUGGCAGUGAAUUCUUAGUUAUUUAAUGAAAUCUUAGUAUGCAGUACUUUAUCUCAAAUGUGUCACGCGUUUUCAGUGAGAGAAAAUGAGCUUUGGUCCUAAUGUAUACUCUGGGAGUGAAAAGCACAUGGCGAAUAUCAUAGCAGGUAAUUUUAAAUGUUAUUUAGUCAGGUAUCUUGGAGGUAUCUUGGGUGCCAAUAACAGCAAUUUUGUAUUCUCUGUCAGGCCAUGCAGGAAAAAAAUGCGUCAUUGUCCUUUCCUCCCUCACCCCCCAGUUACGGAUCGCUCAUGCUAAUAUGCAAACCGUGUCCCCAGGUCUCUCCCCAGCCUCCCUCACAGUGACUCAGCUGCAGCUCUCCACCCCACUGUGGUGUCCACCCGAGCCCUUCUGUGCCCGUUCCGUGCGAUGCUGGGGCCAGCGCGGGCAGCUGCUGCUCUGAGCUAAUGGAAGGAGACAGGAACAGCUGGCCAAGAUUUCUCCGGGUGGACCUCAGCGCUCUCCAAAGGUGUCUGUCCUGCACCUACAGGGACAUCAGCGGGCUAACGCUAACUGCAUGUGGCAGUGCCAGGUCUCAAGAGUUUGCAGAGACACAGCUUGACCUUAAUGUGCACCAAAAUUCUUUUAGCAUUAACAGAACCCUUUUUGGCAAGCACGUUGCUCUACAUAAGAAAAGAUCUGCACAUGGUCCUCCCAGUGCUUUGGCCUAAUAUUUCAAAUGUUGCAGAUUAUAACAUGCAGGAGCAAUACAAACAAAACGUUUUCUCAGUGAUGAAGAAACAUCAUUAGAAGCUAAUGAAAUGCUUUUCCAAACCAUUUAAAACCAUUUUGCCAAAUAGGUGAAGUGCAAACUAAGUUAACACAAAAGGGCUACAAAUACUGAUUUUUGAAAAUUAAUAAAAUAAAUAAAAUAAUAUUAACAUUACCUGAACAAAAUUAAAGGUGUAACCAAGAAAAGUAGAAGCAAAUUAUGUAUAUUUCUCAAAGAUUAUAUUUAUGUCUCUAAAUAAAGGAGGAAAUUGAAAAACCUAUCAUUUAUAUCGCAGCACAUUUAAAGUAAUAUUACAUAAGUAAUUCAAAUAAGUCCAAUUAAAAGCCAUAUAGCAUAGAAGAACUGUGCUCUCAUUAUAUGAAGUGCUUCCUAAUAAAUAAGUGAACCACUGAGCAAAUUCUUCUCAUUCAUAACCUGUACAGAAGAUGACAAGGGUAAUCAGUGGGACAAAAAAAUCUGUCAGUGUCCAAUAUGAAGUUCUUGUUUAGUUCCUAAUUAAACUUUAUCAGUUUUUGUCACUAUUCUUUUAUUUUUUUUAUGUUAAAGAUAUAUUUGAAUGGAAAGCCAUUUGCAAAUAUGAAAUAAUCUAAAAUUUGAUUAAAUACAUUUAUCAGGAUGUGAUUUUUGAAGACUUUACAGUUUAUUGAAUGGAUUUCAAGCUCUUUUUGGAGAAAAAAAAAAAGAAAAAGUUACUUUCUUUCUUUCUAGCACUACCAGUUACUUUUUUUACAAAUACACUUUCUGUACCUUAUUUUUUUCAUGAUGGAGCUGUUUUGACUGAUGUCACAGUUUUAAAAGUCAGUGAAAAAUCUGUUUCACUGAAGUGGAAGCCCUGAUCAGGCAUUGUUUUUUCUUCUUAAACCUGAAACAAGUAUAAAAGCAUGUCUCUUAGAACAUUUAGAUCAUUUUUUUCCCUGCACAUGAACAAAGAAUUCAGGAGUGGAGGAAAAAGACAAGGCUUUCUCUGUGACAGGAGACAAAGGCAGGGAAAAAAAAAA